Molecule: non-coding RNA, 97 nt
Organism: Biomphalaria glabrata
Lineage: Eukaryota; Metazoa; Mollusca; Gastropoda; Planorbidae
Source: Rfam
UGGUUAUGAUGAAGCUUAUUCCAUAACAUUCGCGGUUUCCACUAGAAGAACAUCAGUUCUGAGGAUAGCUCUAGCCCUUCCUUGGAUGUCUGAACCA